This 182-nucleotide long non-coding RNA is filed under the name Pongo abelii (Sumatran orangutan). RNAcentral describes it as "lincRNA". Lineage: Eukaryota; Metazoa; Chordata; Mammalia; Primates; Hominidae. The record is from RNAcentral.
AGAUGGGGUCUUCUUUUGUUGCCCAGGCUGGCCGCAAAUUCCUGGGCUCAAGUGAUCCUCCCACCUUGUCCUUGUAGAGAUGGGAUUUAGUUAUGUCGUCCAGGCUGAUCUCAAACUCCUGGGCUAAAUCGAGGUCUCCCUCUGUUGUCCAAGGCUGGAGUGUAGUAGUGCUAUCACAGCUG